This is a non-coding RNA of Heterocephalus glaber (naked mole-rat), 526 nucleotides long. The record is from RefSeq and is a predicted model, not a curated record. Lineage: Eukaryota; Metazoa; Chordata; Mammalia; Rodentia; Bathyergidae.
GUGCUUUUGUGGCUGCCUAGAUGUCCUAAGUGGAUCCCAAACAAACUUCCGUGGUCAUUUUGACUUUGAGGAAGAGCCAGAAGUUACAGGGCACCCGAUCUGUUGAAUAAGAUCCCUUUGGACAGAACCAUUUGGAAUUUGAGUGUGAUAGAAGAAGAAAAUAAGAGGAUUGACAAACUUGAAGUAUUCGUCAGCGGAAUCUGAACAAAGUAGGGAGUAAAAUAAAGAAAAAGGAGGACUUGGCUGUGGAGUGAAACAGAAAUACAAGACUGGAGCUCAGCUGCAUCGAAGAAUAUCUGUCCUGGAAAAAAAAUAAGACCAGACUGCUUGACCACGGCCUUCCAUUAUUAUGUCAGAAAUUGGAAGAAUGAUCAGAGAUUUGUUUGAGAUUUGUUCCAGAUUCAGGUGAGGCCUACUUUUGAUUACCAUAUCAUAUUCAGGAAUAUUUACAAAAAGUCUUUAUCCAAAUGAACCUCAUUUUCCUUUUUCUUUUUGGAAAAUAUGGUAGGACCAAGAGAACUUUUGU